Long non-coding RNA from Spinacia oleracea (spinach), 2713 nucleotides. RefSeq lists it as uncharacterized. The transcript is spliced from 2 exons. The record is from RefSeq and is a predicted model, not a curated record. NCBI's taxonomy places the organism in Eukaryota, Viridiplantae, Streptophyta, Magnoliopsida, Caryophyllales, Amaranthaceae.
AAUUACACCAUUUAAAAAAAAAAUUGGCGAUCGUUACAACAUUAAUGAGAUUGCAAAGAUUGACACAUUUUGAAGUCCUUGAAAAAUGAUAAACAUUUUGGCUAAUCGGAUUCGGGGAGCAUUAGAAAUAUCAAUAGACGACUUCAAUAAAAAUGUCGACGAACGAAAUCAUGCUCCCCUUUGCCAACUUCCCGAUUCAUACCUACAAUUGAUAAAAGCAUUUGAACAUAAUACUUAUUGUACAUAAAUUUAGGGAACUUGUUACACUAUUUUAUCAGUCAAAUUAGUGGGUCACUAAAUGGUUCCACUUACAGAUUAUGUGCCGUUGGUUUCUUUAACCAGGUAUUAUUUAUUUAUUUAUUUAUUUUGUUAAUUAAAAAAACUAAAAGCGCAUUCUAUCACUAUGAGUCUUUAACUGAGUAUGCAUCAGAUUCAUCUUUUUCCUCUUGUAACCAUCGAAGUACACUUUAACACACUCUUUCUCUCUCUUCAAAAUUUUAUCAUUCCAUAUGGUGUUUGGAGAAAUAUUUGUAGUUUCCUCGCCUAAAAUUCACCCCGGUCAAAAGCCCUCAAUCAAUUUCGAUAAAUUUCAACUUUUUCUCUCUACAUUCAACUUAUCUCUCCUUUGAAAUUGUUAGAUUUAGAGACGUGACCUCCAAUCACUGUGCAAGGCUGCAAGCUACCAUGGCCAACGCUCUAGCUUUAAUUCUGAUUGUAUGAUUUUUAUUAAAUGUCGUUUUCUAGGGUUUUGAUUUUUGUUGAUUUUGUUAAUUAUUUGUUUCAUCUGAUGAUUUGUGUGCCUUUGUGUGUUAAUCGAUGAAUGUUUUCGUAAUUUGAAUGAUUAUUGUUUUUGUUUGAUUCAAUCCACAGAUUCCUGCUAUUUGGUUUCCUUGUACGGUAAUGUUGAUGAUGAACUUCUGAAGUUUAAUUAGUUUGCAUGUGAAUAAAGAAAUCUACGCUUAAAAUAUUUCUUUAUGAUCCAAUUUCUUGUUAAUUUCCAACAAUCUAAAAGUCAUAAAAUAUUAUAUUGUUAGUGAAUUAUUGCCGAAAUUUGAACACCCUUUGUAUGAGAUUAUGUGUGGUGCCAUUGUGUGGAUUAGAUAAUUAAUUACUCCAUAAAAGAUUGUUGAAGAUUAUGUAUUGUUAGAGAUUAUGUGCAACCCCUGUACAUUAGUAAUACUAUCAUACUAUGAUAACAUAGAGACAUGGAAGAAAUUGGUGAAUAGUUCUCAGCUUUUCCAAACGUUUUAUAUUUUGUUGUAUAAAUUGUCGAGUGUUGAUGGACGGAUAGAUAGUCAUUAGCUAGUCUAGAUGGGGAAUGCAACAUGAUUUAACUUGUAGCUCAUCAAUGGGAGAUGUAUAGGACUGAUACCUAAUGUUCCAGGUACAAAACAAAGAAAAUUACUGGUUUGGUUAGGCUUCCCUAGAGCUUUAAUACGGGAAGUCUAAGGGAUUUGAUUUUUGAAAAUGUUAGUACCUCUAGAACUAUCUGUUUGAUGCUACUAUUUGAUUUUUUUUUUUUUAUCAAAAUGGGUGCAAUACAUACUUCGUGUUUGAUACAUGUAUGUAAUAGAUUAUUUGAACUUUUGGGAGAAACGUAGCUGUUUUGAGAUUCUUUUUGUCAUUUAUUUGUAUAUUAGAAGGGUUCUCUUUAAUUUUGUAAAAAAAAUGAUGUUUUGUCUUGGUCUGGUUCUAAGAAUUGUAGUUUAUCACGAUCUUAUGUGUUUGGGAGGUUGCAAUUGGGAGAUCUAUAUAUGUCAUCUUGUUCUUUUGGUUAUCAGUAGCCAUUUAUAUAGUUUUAUUGUGAAAUAUUCUGAUUUUAAUUUCAUCUGGCUGGAAUUUAUGUUUUUGAUGAUGUUUUUAGCUUGAUUUUAGGAGUGUUGCUUGCCAUGUCUCAAAUGCUAAGACGAAGUCUAUUUUUUUGACUGAGUAGUUUUGUUAGAUGAAUUGUUUUUUACUUGGAUUAGCUUAUGCUUUGGUUUGAGUAUAACAAUGAAACAGGGGUGUGUUUAUUUUUCUGCAGUGUAUAACUUUCUAGUAAUAAAUUGAAAUCUUUAUGAAACCAUUAAAGGACAUGUAAAAAAAAACAUAUAACCAAGAAUUAUAGCCGAUAAAAUCUUACGUAUUACCAUUUAAUUUUUGUUUAAGAGGUUGAUGGAAACAUACCUUAUACGGGUGGUUAUUGUAUGUAGUGACGAAUUUAAAUUGAAAUUAAAACCUGCAUAAAAAUCAUUUACGAAUAGUCAAUUUCAAUAAGUUUUUUGUUAGAACGUGCAAACAUACCAUAUCUUUUGAAAGUGAUUCGAUGGACUUGGUAGUUAUCGAUUGCAAUGACCAAUUAUAUAAUCUACACAAAGAUCGACGUAAGUGUUUUAGUACAAUACAAUUCCCUUCAGAUAAUGUAAUCAUAAAUUGUUCAAUUUGUAAUCUCAAUAACACAGUUUCUAUUUUUUUGUGCAUGAAUUCGGGAGAAAAAUAUACUCACAUGUAUUGGCCUAAUCAAAGAGAAACGGCGGUGGAGCUUUUGUGAUGGAACUUUGUGAAGAAUUGUGAAGAUAUACGACAGUUUUAGGUUUACAGCAACUUGAAUUUGAAAAAUAUGUAAAUAAUUUUGGCAAUUGUAAUAAAUUUGUAUAUUAUUUGUUUUUUGUUUUUGGUAUUCCUUGCCGGUUAGUAACUGAAAUGAAGAAUGAGAGAUUAUACGGUUGCUUUC